RNAcentral lists this ribosomal RNA (504 nucleotides) under uncultured bacterium. RNAcentral describes it as "partial 16S ribosomal RNA". It matches the Rfam family "Bacterial small subunit ribosomal RNA", at positions 30 to 523 of the family's 1533-position model. The record is from RNAcentral.
AUUGAACGCUGGCGGCAGGCCUAACACGUGCAAGUCGAGCGGUAACACAGGGAGCUUGCUCCUGGGUGACGAGCGGCGGACGGGUGAGUAAUGUCUGGGAAACUGCCUGAUGGAGGGGGAUAACUACUGGAAACGGUAGCUAAUACCGCAUAACGUCGCAAGACCAACGAGGGGGACCUUCGGGCCUCUUGCCAUCAGAUGUGCCCAGAUGGGAUUAGCUAGUAGGUGGGGUAACGGCUUACCUAGGCGACGAUCCCUAGCUGGUCUGAGAGGAUGACCAGCCACACUGGAACUGAGACACGGUCCAGACUCCUACGUGAGGCAGCAGUGGGGAAUAUUGCACAAUGGGCGCAAGCCUGAUGCAGCCAUGCCGCGUGUAUGAAGAAGGCCUUCGGGUUGUAAAGUGCUUUCAGCGGGGAGGAAGGCGAUAAGGUUAAUAACCUUGUCGAUUGACGUUACCCGCAGAAGAAGCACCGGCUAACUCCGUGCCAGCCGCCGCGGUAA